Pistacia vera is the source of this 1891-nucleotide RNA transcript. It is a transcript of the gene named FHA domain-containing protein At4g14490-like, with no coding region annotated. NCBI's taxonomy places the organism in Eukaryota, Viridiplantae, Streptophyta, Magnoliopsida, Sapindales, Anacardiaceae. The transcript is spliced from 3 exons. The record is from RefSeq and is a predicted model, not a curated record.
UCUCUGCUCAAAAAGACAAGUAGAAGAAGAACCCUCGAAUCCUUCUACAAAUUUCUCACUUUCUCAGAGCUCCAAGUACAGAUGGAGCCAGGUUUGAAGCUAAUCCUGGUCCAAGGCCCACGCUCUGGCGAAACGCUUGAGUUUGAACCGGGAGCCACCAUCCGGAUCGGGCGAAUUGUGCGCGGCAACAACGUUACGAUAAAGGACGCCGGCAUCUCCUCCAAGCACCUUAUAAUCGGAUUCGAAUCCGGGAAAUGGACUGUCCAAGAUCUGGGCUCCUCCAACGGCACCGCCCUCAACUCCUCCAAACUCCCCCCUCAUACGCCCGUCGAACUCCACGAAAACGACACAGUUAAACUCGGAGAGUACACCUCGAUCUCAAUCAAGUUAAUGACGGAAAACAGCCACGAGGAGUCGGUGAAGCCGAGAAGGAAUCCUACGCGUCAAGUGAACGUGAGAGCCACUAGAUCUAGGAGUAAGAAGAAUGAAGAGUGUUUGGAGAAUGAGGGAUUAAUUGAGUGUGGAGCGGUGGAGAAAGAGGUUAAGAUUACAAGAAAGGGUAGGGGAAAGAGAAAGAUUUUACAAGAAAUGCCACCAGAGAAUAGUGAAGUUGUUCAAAUUGAAGGCGAAGAGGAAUUGAAACCGCAGCAAAUGCCAGCGGAGGGUGAGAGAGUUCAAAUUGUUGAUAAAGGAAGAGUGAAAGAUAUUAAAGAGAAUGAUGUAAAAAUUAUCCGAAAGGGUAGGGGAAGGCAGAAAGCUUUAAAGGAAAUGCCACUGGAGAGUUGUGAAGUUAAAAUUGAAGGUAAAGAGAAUUUGGAAGCGGAGCAAGUGCCAGGAGAGAGAGAUGAAGUUCAAACUAUGGAUAAAGAAAACGUGAAAGAUGUUAAAGAGAAAUAUGUCAAAAUAACGCGUAAGGCUAGAACCAGGAGGAAAGGUCUCCAGGAAAUGCCACGGGAAAGUAGUGAAGUUCAAAUUAAAGAUAGAGAGAAUUUGAAUUCACAGAAAAUGCCACGAGAGAGUGAUGAAGUUCACAUCGUCGAUAAAGAGAACACGAAAUUAGUAGAAGUAAGUGGCAGAGAUGUUAAAGAGAUUAGUAGUAAUAGGGUUGAAGAUAAAGAAAAUGUAGAAUUAGGAGAAGUAAGUGGUGGAGAUGUCAAAAAGAGUAGUUGUAAUAAGGUUGAAGAUAAAGAAAAAUUUGGGGAUUUGGAGACAAUGACUCUGGAGCAGUGGUUCCAUUACAUGGAGGUUUAUUUGCCAAAGCAGAUAAUUGAAGCGACUGAGGAGAUGAUAGUGGGGAUGAAAAUGAAGGCGGAGAGAGUUCGUCAGUAUGUGAUAGAGGAAAAGAAGAAGAAGGGCAAACAAUUAUGGUGCGUGAUCGGAUUAGAAUGGAAAUGUUAGCACCAAAGGAGAGGGAGAACUAUAGAUCAUGUUGGAGAUUAGGUGUUUUCCUGAGAGACCUAUGACAUUUUGGCGAUCACAAAGUAUGGAAAGAGUCCGACUAGUAAAAUCAAUACGUUUUCUGGUUAUUCAUUGAUAUCAACUAAUGUGGUUGAGAUCGCUCUGAUCUAUUGGCAGUUCGGCGGAUCUGGUCCUGAAUUUUAGACGAUGGGCUCCAUUUGAAUUGACUGAUUAAGGGAGUAUAACUUGCAUUGUACAGCUAAGUUUAGCAUUAUCUUCCCUUGAUUGCUCAUCUUUCUAAUUCUAUUCGGAUCAAUGCUUUAGAUUCCAUGUCUAUUUACUAAGUGGUCCAAUAGUUUCACUGUUAAAAUUUAGGUGUUACAUUGGAUAACUGAAAUCUCAACCCAUUUUCAGAGACAACUCUUUUACCUGUAUUUGUAAAAUGUAGAUAGGGAUUUGAAAUGCAAGCUUUGAUGUCAGUUAUUUAUUUGCU